GACGAACGCUGGCGGCGUGCCUAAUACAUGCAAGUUGAGCGCUGAAGGUUGGUACUUGUACCAACUGGAUGAGCAGCGAACGGGUGAGUAACGCGUGGGGAAUCUGCCUUUGAGCGGGGGACAACAUUUGGAAACGAAUGCUAGUACCGCAUAAAAACUUUAAACACAAGUUUUAAGUUUGAAAGAUGCAAUUGCAUCACUCAAAGAUGAUCCCGCGUUGUAUUAGCUAGUUGGUGAGGUAAAGGCUCACCAAGGCGAUGAUACAUAGCCGACCUGAGAGGGUGAUUGGCCACAUUGGGACUGAGACACGGCCCAAACUCCUACGGGAGGCAGCAGUAGGGAAUCUUCGGCAAUGGACGAAAGUCUGACCGAGCAACGCCGCGGGAGGGAAGAAGGGUGUCGGAUCGUAAAACUCUGUUGGUAGAGAAGAACGUUGGUGAGAGUGGAAAGCUCAUCAAGUGACGGUAACUACCCAGAAAGGGACGGCUAACUACGUG
RNAcentral lists this ribosomal RNA (497 nucleotides) under uncultured bacterium. RNAcentral describes it as "partial 16S ribosomal RNA". It matches the Rfam family "Bacterial small subunit ribosomal RNA", at positions 28 to 507 of the family's 1533-position model. The record is from RNAcentral.